This 466-nucleotide ribosomal RNA is filed under the name uncultured bacterium. Its description in RNAcentral is "partial 16S ribosomal RNA". It matches the Rfam family "Bacterial small subunit ribosomal RNA", at positions 29 to 507 of the family's 1533-position model. The record is from RNAcentral.
ACGCACGCUGGCGGCGUGCUUAACACCUGCCAGUCGAACGGAAAGGCUCCAGCUUGCUGGAGUACUCGAGUGGCGAACGGGUGAGUAACACGUGGGUAAUCUGCCCUGCACUCUGGGAUAAGCCUGGGAAACUGGGUCUAAUACUGGAUAUGACCUUUCUCCUUAUGGGGUUUGGUGGAAAGUUUUUCGGUGUAGGAUGAGCCCGCGGCCUAUCAGCUUGUUGGUGGGGUGAUGGCCUACCAAGGCGACGACGGGUAGCCGGCCUGAGAGGGGGAUCGGCCACAUUGGGACUGAGAUACGGCCCAGACUCCUACGGGAGGCAGCAGUGGGGAAUAUUGCACAAUGGGCGGAAGCCUGAUGCAGCGACGCCGCGUGAGGGAUGACGGCCUUCGGGUUGUAAACCUCUUUCAGCAGGGACGAAGCGUAAGUGACGGUACCUGCAGAAGAAGCACCGGCUAACUAUGUG